RNAcentral lists this unclassified non-coding RNA (244 nucleotides) under rhizosphere metagenome. Its description in RNAcentral is "partial ribosomal RNA internal transcribed spacer region". The record is from RNAcentral.
GUAGGUGAACCUGCGGUUGGAUCAUUAUCAAAUGAUAGCCAUUGACUUGUUGAUCUCCCCGCUUGGGGAGAACCUCGUCAGUGGUUCAACUACCACUGUGCACCAUAAACUUUUUUUGGGAUGGGGUGACGUUCGAAAGAAUGUUGUUUUCGUCCCAGCAACAAGAAUCAACCUUUUAAAUUUGACUUAACUAUUUUAUUAAAUUAAAAUUAAACAACUUUAGACAACGGAUCUCUUGGCUCUC